UAACCCUUUGUUGUCCGACUCUGUUGCCUCCGGGGCGACCCUGCCUUCGGGCGGGGGCUCCGGGUGGACACUUCAAACUCUUGCGUAACUUUGCAGUCUGAGUAAACUUAAUUAAUAAAUUAAAACUUUUAACAACGGAUCUCUUGGUUCUGGCAUCGAUGAAGAACGCAGCGAAAUGCGAUAAGUAAUGUGAAUUGCAGAAUUCAGUGAAUCAUCGAAUCUUUGAACGCACAUUGCGCCCCCUGGUAUUCCGGGGGGCAUGCCUGUUCGAGCGUCAUUUCACCACUCAAGCCUCGCUUGGUAUUGGGCAACGCGGUCCGCCGCGUGCCUCAAAUCGUCCGGCUGGGUCUUCUGUCCCCUAAGCGUUGUGGAAACUAUUCGCUAAAGGGUGUUCGGGAGGCUACGCCGUAAAACAACCCCAUUUCUAAGGUUGACCUCGGAUCAGGUAGGGAUACCCGCUGAACUUAAGCAUAUCAAUAA
This 480-nucleotide ribosomal RNA is filed under the name Cladosporium herbarum. RNAcentral describes it as "eukaryotic LSU rRNA". The stretch from base 124 to 277 matches the Rfam family "5.8S ribosomal RNA". The record is from RNAcentral. Lineage: Eukaryota; Fungi; Ascomycota; Dothideomycetes; Cladosporiales; Cladosporiaceae.